UACGAAGGGGGCUAGCGUUGCUCGGAAUCACUGGGCGUAAAGCGCACGUAGGCGGACUCUUAAGUCGGUGGUGAAAUCCUGGAGCUCAACUCCAGAACUGCCUUCGAUACUGGGAGUCUCGAGUCCGGGAGAGGUGAGUGGGACUGCGAGUGUAGAGGUGAAAUUCGUAGAUAUUCGCAAGAACACCAGUGGCGAAGGCGGCUCACUGGCCCGGUACUGACGCUGAGGUGCGAAAGCGUGGGGAGCAAACAGG
This 253-nucleotide ribosomal RNA is filed under the name uncultured bacterium. RNAcentral's name for it is "partial 16S ribosomal RNA". It matches the Rfam family "Bacterial small subunit ribosomal RNA", at positions 524 to 776 of the family's 1533-position model. The record is from RNAcentral.